UAGGAAAUUUGAGAGGGGCUGUCCUUAGUACGAGAGGACCGGGAUGGACGCACCGCUGGUGUACCAGUUGUUCCGCCAGGAGCAUCGCUGGGUAGCCAAGUGCGGAAGGGAUAAGCGCUGAAAGCAUCUAAGCGCGAAGCCUGCCUCAAGAUGAGAUUUCCCAAUUCGUAAGACCCCUGGAAGAACACCAGGUUGAUAGGCUCGGGGUGGAAGCGCGGCAACGUGUGCAGCUGACGAGUACUAAUCGGUCGAGGGCUUAUCCUAAA
Molecule: ribosomal RNA, 266 nt
Filed under: Cohnella kolymensis
Lineage: Bacteria; Bacillati; Bacillota; Bacilli; Caryophanales; Paenibacillaceae
Description: partial 23S ribosomal RNA
Rfam family: Bacterial large subunit ribosomal RNA
Source: RNAcentral